GCGCAGACGCUUCUCGUCCACUCAUUCACCCCGUUACUCAUCUCCUACCUCCAGCGAACAGCCAAAUCAAGUCGCCGGAGAAAUCACCAUGACCGCCCACAACCAGGGGCGCGCUCGUUGCCUUGUCCGCCGGCAACUGGAUGCAUGCCCUCUCCAUGGCAACCACAGCCAGGGCUUCAUUAGUUCACCAUGACCAAGCUGCAAUCGGCCAUGGCGGCGACGAGUUUGUCCUGGAGCCGGAGGGUUGCUGUUUUUUGUUUGCUAGAUCCACUCAUUUUCUUUGGUACAACUCUUUUCUUUUUUGCUGCCAUCCUCAUUUGAUUUGAUGAACUUUUUUCAUCUUUGCUGGAAGCGGUGUCCCGAUUUGCUGGAACCAGCUAGUGGAUGUGCUUCAAGGUUCACACCUCAUCGGAGGAAGCUGCAUCCAGUGGCGAGGAGGGCUGCAUCCAAUGUCGGUCAAACGCCGGGAGUUGCAACCAUGUAAGCUGGAGCUACAACCGGUGACCAGGGGAGCUGCAAGAAGGGGGUGGCCGUUUUUGCUGAUGUUUUUUUUACAGAACCAAAAUUUUGUUUUUGCUGGAACCGAUGUAUUGCUUUGCUGAAACAGAUGUACGAUGCAUGUCGAUGGAGGCCAGCAGAGACGGCUACGCCUGCGGCAAGCUCGACGGCGAGGACGGAGGGGGGUGGUGCACCAGAUGCUGCAACCGCGGGGGCGGGGAGCUUCAACCGCUGCCGACGGAGGCUCCGUGUCAGCCAUGGCCAAGUUUGGCGGGGGAUCUGACCACGACGGAAGCUGCAAACGAGUGAGAUGGUUGGGAGGAGCUGACACGCGGCGAAGGAGGCAACCGACGGCGAGGGCAGCAACCGGUGGCGAGGGCAGUGACCGGCGUCGGGGGUGGCCAAGCCGGGUGGUGCUUCGGGUUCGGGGGCCUCGCUCAUCCAUGGCGGCUAGAUGCGUACGCAGAGGAAGGAAGAAGAAGCUGCACGAUUUGUUUAUUUUUUUAUGCCCGGAUCCAACGGUCGCACGGCUCAAAUCCAACGAUCUGGGCUAGACCGGCGGAAUGUUUCGACCGGCGCGCCGGUGCGUAGCGCUGCCCUUAUUGAUUUCUGAGGCCGACCUUCCCUUGUGUACAACUAUAACUUGGUGCUGGUCUUUUUUAACUUUCUACUCUCUCCGUUCCUAAAUAUUUGUCUUUCUAGACAUUACAAAUGGACUAUCACAUACGAAUGUAUGUAGACAUAUUUUAGAGUGUAGAUUCACUCAUUCUGCUCCGUA
Molecule: long non-coding RNA, 1276 nt
Organism: Triticum dicoccoides
Lineage: Eukaryota; Viridiplantae; Streptophyta; Magnoliopsida; Poales; Poaceae
Exons: 2
Source: RefSeq, a predicted model, not a curated record